RNAcentral lists this ribosomal RNA (525 nucleotides) under Mycoplasmopsis arginini. RNAcentral describes it as "bacterial SSU rRNA". It matches the Rfam family "Bacterial small subunit ribosomal RNA", at positions 359 to 893 of the family's 1533-position model. Lineage: Bacteria; Bacillati; Mycoplasmatota; Mycoplasmoidales; Metamycoplasmataceae. The record is from RNAcentral.
UGAUCAUCAUGAGCGAGCUUGAUGGAGCGACACAGAGUGCACGAUGAAGGCCUUCGGAUUGUAAACUGCUGUUAUAGGGAAAGAAAACCUGGUUGAGGAAUGCUUCCAGGCUGACGGUACCCUGUCAGAAAGCGAUGGCUAACUAUGUGCCAGCAGCCGCGGUAAUACAUAGGUCGCAAGCGUUAUCCGGAAUUAUUGGGCGUAAAGCGUUCGUAGGCUGUUUAUUAAGUCUGGAGUCAAAUCCCAGGGCUCAACCCUGGCUCGCUUUGGAUACUGGUAAACUAGAUUUAGAUAGAGGUAAGCGGAAUUCCAUGUGAAGCGGUGAAAUGCGUAGAUAUAUGGAAGAACACCAAAGGCGAAAGCCGCUUACUGGGUCUAUACUGACCCUGAGGGACGAAAGCGUGGGGAGCAAACAGGAUUAAAUACCCUGGUAAUCCCCCCCCUAAACCAUGAUCAUUAAUCUGUGGAGAGUUCACUGACGCACCUAACGCAUUAAAUGAUCCCCCUGAGAAAAUGCUCUCAAAA